Molecule: ribosomal RNA, 321 nt
Filed under: uncultured eukaryote
Lineage: Eukaryota
Description: partial 18S ribosomal RNA
Rfam family: Eukaryotic small subunit ribosomal RNA
Source: RNAcentral
CCCUUAGAUGUCCUGGGCUGCACGCGCGCUACACUGACACGUUCAACGAGUUUUGCCUGCUCCGAUGGGACUGGGUAAUCUUAUGAAAGCGUGUCGUGAUGGGGAUAGAUUAUUGCAAUUAUUAAUCUUCAACGAGGAAUUCCUAGUAAGUACAAGUCAUCAGCUUGUGCUGAUUACGUCCCUGCCCUUUGUACACAUCGCCCGUCGCUCCUACCGAUUGGGUGAUCCGGUGAAUAACUCGGACUGCAGCUAUUCGGGAGACCGUUAGCUUGUGGAAAGUUUAGUAAAUCUUAUCACUUAGAGGAAGGAGAAGUCGUAACA